AGAUUGAACGCUGGCGGCAUGCCUUACACAUGCAAGUCGAACGGUAACAGGUCUUCGGAUGCUGACGAGUGGCGAACGGGUGAGUAAUACAUCGGAACGUGCCCGAUCGUGGGGGAUAACGGAGCGAAAGCUUUGCUAAUACCGCAUACGAUCUAGGAUGAAACGCAGGGGACCGCAAGGCUUGCGCGGACGGAGCGGCGAUGGCAGAGUUAGGUAGUUGGUAGGAAUAAAGCUUAACAAGCCGACGAUCUGUAGCUGGUCUGAGACGGACGACCACGCCACACGUGGUAC
This 291-nucleotide ribosomal RNA is filed under the name uncultured soil bacterium. RNAcentral's name for it is "partial 16S ribosomal RNA". It matches the Rfam family "Bacterial small subunit ribosomal RNA", at positions 26 to 320 of the family's 1533-position model. The record is from RNAcentral.